AUUGAACGCUGGCGGCAGGCCUAACACAUGCAAGUCGAACGGUAACAGGAAGAUGCUUGCUUCUUUCCGGACGGGUGGGGGGCGGGUGGGUAAUGUCUGGGAAACUGCCUGAGGGAGGGGGAUAACUACUGGAAACGGUAGCUAAUACCGCAUAACGUGGGAAGACCAAGGAGGGGCACCUCCGGGCCUCUUGCCUUCGCAUGUGCCCAGAUGGGAUUAGCUAGUAGGUGGGGUAACGGCUCACCUAGGCGACGAUCCCUAGCUGGUCUGAGAGGAUGACCAGCCACACUGGAACUGAGACACGGUCCAGACUCCUACGGGAGGCAGCAGUGGGGAAUAUUGCACAAUGGGCGAAAGCCUGAUGCAGCCAUGCCGCGUGUAUGAAGAAGGCCUUCGGGUUGUAAAGUACUUUCAGCGGGGAGGAAGGGAGUAAAGUUAAUACCUUUGCUCAUUGACGUUACCCGCAGAAGAAGCACCGGCUAACUCCGUG
Molecule: ribosomal RNA, 490 nt
Filed under: uncultured bacterium
Lineage: Bacteria
Description: partial 16S ribosomal RNA
Rfam family: Bacterial small subunit ribosomal RNA
Source: RNAcentral